This is a non-coding RNA of Cyprinodon tularosa, 572 nucleotides long. The record is from the annotation of a RefSeq genome assembly. NCBI's taxonomy places the organism in Eukaryota, Metazoa, Chordata, Actinopteri, Cyprinodontiformes, Cyprinodontidae.
GUGCUAUAUAAAACUGACGGAUUACCAAGUUUUCGUUUGAUGUUAGUUGUAAAAUAUGAUUCCCUUUAGACCCAGAUUCUUCAGUGUGUUUCCUUUUGUCCUCUGGAUAACAAGUCUAACUGAUGGAAGUGAUGUCAAUCAGACUCCUUUGCUGUGGACGCUCGAGGGUCAGUCUGCCACCAUGAGCUGCAAUCACACUAAAGGUGCUACUUACUACCAGAUGUACUGGUACCAACAGCUGCCUGGACAGAACAUGAAACUAAUAGUAUUUACAACAACAACUCCUCCACAUAAGUAUGAACAAAGCUUCAACAAAGAGAAAUUUCCCGCAGAGAAGGAGGAAGCUCAUAACGGAUCUCUGACAGUGAACAACUCGAAGCCUGAAGACAGUGGAUUGUAUUUCUGUGCUGUGAGUGAACACAGUGAUGCAGCUGAUUGAUAGACCUGCACAAAAACCCAACUGCUGGAGAACCACUGAACUGAAGACAUUUUGGAUUUAAAUAAACUGUAGGUGGAGCUAAUGACUAGAUUUUGUUAAAACUUCAGAUAUUUUUUCAUAUGUUUAUAUUCAA